RNAcentral lists this ribosomal RNA (447 nucleotides) under uncultured bacterium. RNAcentral describes it as "bacterial SSU rRNA". It matches the Rfam family "Bacterial small subunit ribosomal RNA", at positions 355 to 796 of the family's 1533-position model. The record is from RNAcentral.
CAACGAAUCUUCCCCAAUGGGCGAAAGCCUGAGGGAGCGACGCCGCGUGUGGGACGAAGUACUUCGGUAUGUAAACCACUGUUAGGGUUAUGAAAGCGACAGGACCUAAUACGUCUUGAAGUUGAUCUGACCCAGAGAAAGGGACGGCUAACUCUGUGCCAGCAGCCGCGGUAAUACAGAGGUCCCGAGCGUUACUGAGAAUCACUGGGUUUAAAGGGUGCGUAGGUGGUCCGUUAAGUCAGUUGUGAAAUCCCCGGGCUCAACCCGGGAACUGCUUCUGAUACUGGCGGACUUGAGGCCAGUAGGGGUCACUAGAACUGACGGUGGAGCGGUGAAAUGCGUAGAUAUCGUCAGGAAUGCCGGUGGUGAAGACGGGUGACUGGGCUGGUUCUGACACUGAGGCACGAAAGCGUGGGGAGCGAACGGGAUUAGAUACCCGGGUAGUCC